Molecule: ribosomal RNA, 448 nt
Filed under: uncultured bacterium
Lineage: Bacteria
Description: bacterial SSU rRNA
Rfam family: Bacterial small subunit ribosomal RNA
Source: RNAcentral
UCCAGACUCCUACGGGAGGCAGCAGUGGGGAAUAUUGGGCAAUGGGCGCAAGCCUGACCCAGCAACGCCGCGUGAAGGAAGAAGGCUUUCGGGUUGUAAACUUCUUUUCUCAGGGACGAAGCAAGUGACGGUACCUGAGGAAUAAGCCACGGCUAACUACGUGCCAGCAGCCGCGGUAAUACGUAGGUGGCAAGCGUUAUCCGGAUUUACUGGGUGUAAAGGGCGUGUAGGCGGGGACGCAAGUCAGAUGUGAAAACCAUGGGCUCAACCUGUGGCCUGCAUUUGAAACUGUGUUUCUUGAGUACUGGGGAGGCAGACGGAAUUCCUAGUGUAGCGGUGAAAUGCGUAGAUAUCAGGAGGAACACCGGCGGCGAAGGCGGCCUGCUGGACCGCGACUGACGUUGAGGCUCGAAAGCGUGGGGAGCGAACAGGAUUAGAUACCCUAGUA